UGGACUUUGUGGUCUGUUUCUGUGCUUUAUGUUUCAGAGGAGCUUGGUGAAGCUGGGUGUGGCUUUGCUGCUGAUUGGAGCUGUGCUGGUUCACACACCUGCAGCACAUUGAGUAUAAUCAGCACCUGCUCUCAUACCCAGACCUUCUCUCUGCACGAUGCCACAUUGUUGUCGCCAGCUCCAGUGUGUGACCAGACUAUACCUGUGAACCAGCUUCUCAACCACUCACCACCCAGCCUCACGUACCUCUGCCACCCCUCACAACCUCUACUGCCUGAGCCAGUCUCCAUUUGCACCACCCUGGGAGCCACCGGCCUGUGCUCAAGCUCACAGUCUCAUAAAUUGGAUAAAGGCUUAAACUGUAUUGUAAUGGUAAAGUCUUCAGUUGGUUUGUGGUUACUUGGAUUAAGCAGAUCUAUGUCAAAAUGCCCACAGAUGAACAUGACCUUUUGAUUAGACAUUGUAAACAUUUCCUCCAUUCAUUCCUUGAAAAUUACAAUAUUAGAACCCGGUGCUCUGUAUAAAUGCACCUAACAAUUACAUUUUUCUUUUUUCCAUGUAUAUUUCUACUUUUCAACAUUCUAAUACCUUUCCAAUUGCAGUCGUCUCUCUUCCACCAUGAAAUUAAAGUUUUUGUCCACAUACACUAGCCACACCUCCUCCAGUCUUGUUCUCCCUGUUUAUGUUUAUGUGAUUCUUUUCAUAACCAUCUAAUUCAAAAUCUGUACCCUUCACAGGGUUGAUCCAAGUGUCUGAUAUUGCAAGUAUGUUAAAUGGUUGUGCAAAUUGACGUAGAUAAUUCUAAAUGAUGUGGAAAUUUGCAUACAGGCUUCUACUGUUAAAAUAACAGUUUCUUAUCUGUCUUGAUGGUGUUGUUGAACUGUUCAUCUGUGUAAUGGCAGCAAUCAUCGUUGAUGUUAAAGAAAAAGUUAUUUCCUGGUCGAUAUUGUAUUCGAUGUCCUGUGAAUUGUGCUCUGUGGUUUCAAAUGUUUUCAUUUCCAACUUACCAUUAUCAGCAAUAUUCUGUGUUAUGUGUAC
Molecule: long non-coding RNA, 1038 nt
Filed under: Sparus aurata (gilthead seabream)
Lineage: Eukaryota; Metazoa; Chordata; Actinopteri; Spariformes; Sparidae
Description: lncRNA (ENSSAUG00010012941.1)
Source: RNAcentral